GACGUAGGGCGCGAGCGUUGUCCGGAUUUAUUGGGCGUAAAGAGCUCGUAGGCGGCUUGUCGCGUCGUCCGUGAAAACUUGGGGCUCAACCCCAAGCUUGCGGUCGAUACGGGCAGGCUAGAGUUCGGUAGGGGAGACUGGAAUUCCUGGUGUAGCGGUGAAAUGCGCAGAUAUCAGGAGGAACACCGGUGGCGAAGGCGGGUCUCUGGGCCGAUACUGACGCUGAGGAGCGAAAGCCAGGGGAGCAAACGGG
RNAcentral lists this ribosomal RNA (253 nucleotides) under uncultured bacterium. Its description in RNAcentral is "partial 16S ribosomal RNA". It matches the Rfam family "Bacterial small subunit ribosomal RNA", at positions 524 to 776 of the family's 1533-position model. The record is from RNAcentral.